CCUACGGGAGGCAGCAGUGGGGAAUAUUGCACAAUGGGGGAAACCCUGAUGCAGCGACGCCGCGUGAGUGAAGAAGUACUUCGUUAUGUAAAGCUCUAUCAGCAGGGAGGAAAAUGACAGUACCUGAGUAAUAAGCCCCUGCUAACGACGUGCCAGCAGCCGCGGUAAUACGUCGGGGGCGAGCGUUCUCCGGAUUUACUGGGUGUAAAGGGAGCGUAGACGGCAGUGCGAGUCUGGAGUGAAAGGCCCGGGCUUAACCCCCGGACUGCUCUGGAGACUGUACGGCUGGAGUGCAGUAGAGGGAAGUAGAAUUCCUAGUGUAGCGGUGAAAUGCGUAGAUAUGAGGAGGAACACCAGUGGCGAAGGCGGCUUACUGGACUGUAACUGACGUUCAGGUGCGAAAGCGUGGGGAGCAAACAGGAUUAGAUACCCGGGUAGUC
RNAcentral lists this ribosomal RNA (440 nucleotides) under uncultured bacterium. RNAcentral's name for it is "partial 16S ribosomal RNA". It matches the Rfam family "Bacterial small subunit ribosomal RNA", at positions 338 to 795 of the family's 1533-position model. The record is from RNAcentral.